CGCGAGGUGGGGCAGGGCUUGCCGGUCGCGCUGACGGUCGCGAGCGCGUCGUCGGAACUGGCGGCGCGCACGGUCACGGCGUUCCAUCACGGC
This 93-nucleotide transfer RNA is filed under the name Caballeronia arvi. RNAcentral's name for it is "Burkholderia arvi tRNA-???(gacg); tRNA-???(gacg)". The record is from RNAcentral. Lineage: Bacteria; Pseudomonadati; Pseudomonadota; Betaproteobacteria; Burkholderiales; Burkholderiaceae.